CCAGGACCAUUCCUCCCAUCCAGUCAUGAAUUUGUUUUGCCAGGUGGAUGGAGACUUGGGAACUUCAGAGACCUGCCUGGCCCGCUGAUCCAGGCCCAGGUUCAACAUGUGCAAAAUGGGAAUAAUAGUGCCACCUCACAGAGCGGUACUGGAGGUGACGUUUAGAACAAGGUUAUAGAACUGCUUAGCAUGUACUAGCUUCUCGGCAACACAGUAUCCUACCAUCCGCGCUGCAGUCAUCUGGCCCCUUUUUGUUGCUGCGUUACCUUGCACGAGGGACAUGAGCUGGCGUCUGU
Molecule: long non-coding RNA, 296 nt
Organism: Eubalaena glacialis (North Atlantic right whale)
Lineage: Eukaryota; Metazoa; Chordata; Mammalia; Artiodactyla; Balaenidae
Exons: 3
Source: RefSeq, a predicted model, not a curated record